Molecule: long non-coding RNA, 452 nt
Organism: Mauremys reevesii (Reeves's turtle)
Lineage: Eukaryota; Metazoa; Chordata; Testudines; Geoemydidae
Exons: 3
Source: RefSeq, a predicted model, not a curated record
GCCUCCUAUCAUGUAUGUGUGUGCCUGCUCUUUCUUUUUCUAGCCCUGGUUGCUCUACUUGCAGUGAUCCCUGCUGGCAGUUUCUCUUUUCAGGAUUCAGAAGUUAAUUCUAUUCAAAAGGAGGCUCCACCAACAUUUUGGGCAAGAGGAACAACAGGUCUGGAGGGAUGGUCAGCACAAAAGACUCCUCACCAUGGAAACGACAGUAUGUGUAAAACAUCUUUGUGGAAAAUGUCAUGUGGGAUGAUCUAGGACGUAUAUAAAAUCCUGACCAAUAGUGAAAAUGUAACCUUUUGUCUAAGCUGAAAUGAAAAGAGAUGGAGAAUGUGUAGACAUGUAACUCUUGUACCAAAAAAGAAAAAGUUGUGUAUUUGGGAGGCAACAUAGUGAUACACUCAGCUUACGAAUGUGUGUAGAAGACAAGCAACUCAAGUAAAGAACUAUCUUAAUAA